RNAcentral lists this long non-coding RNA (2832 nucleotides) under Sarcophilus harrisii (Tasmanian devil). Its description in RNAcentral is "lncRNA (ENSSHAG00000028948.1)". Lineage: Eukaryota; Metazoa; Chordata; Mammalia; Dasyuromorphia; Dasyuridae. The record is from RNAcentral.
UUUAAGGUUAAUGAUUACCCAGGGUCUGUCAUCCCCUCCUCAUCUGUCCCACCUUUGUGAGCUUCCCUAUUCCCACUCAUCAGGACAAAAAGAGAAGAACCAGCUGUGAAAAGAGAGACGCCUCCCCUCUCCACAUCAUUCAUCCCAAAUGAAGAAGAGGCUAUCAUGUGACCAUUUUGCUGAUGAAGACACUGAAACUCCGAGAUUAAGUAACUUUUGCAGACUCCCAGCCACGAACUGUCUCAAUUAGGAUUUGAUCUCAGAUCAACGCCCAGUGACCUAGCCCAGUUGUUAUGCUCUCCCAAGGCCUAGAUCUACAUACAUUUCCUGGGAAAAUACUCUGUAAUAGACAGCCAGCUCCAACUGAGGGAAAGAUGCUCCAUGAGUAGCACCUUCCUUAAAUGGACAGUGACCCCAAAGGGGCUCCCAGAGUCUUGGCAAUGAUGGGAAUCUGAAUGAAGAAAUGGCAUCCCUGACUGUGCGGCCUUCAAGAACACGGACAAUGUCUGUGGGGAUCGGGCUCCUUGGGGCAGCACCGGGGGACAGGGGCCUGUUGUCCUGACAGAUGCAGUCCCGGGAGCCUGGCCAGGGGCCAGCGGCAUUCUUGGCAGAGGGAAUUGUAAGCAUCAAGCGAGCAUUCUGAAUCCCCAGCAUAGCCUUACUAUGGAGCCGAAUUACACUGGGUAGGGAAUGGACAGCCACCUCUUCUGUCCCGGCAACGCACACAAACUCACAAGCCUGACACAGUCGCCAUUGUCCUGAGAGGCCCUCCUGCUUCUGAGGCUCCUUCUAUGUGUCUGUGUGUGGGAGUGUGCCCACAGGGGUUUUGUUCUGUCUGUGAGUACGGGUGUGUGUCUGUGUGUGUCUAUGAAUGUGUGACUCUGGGGGAUUGGCUGUGUGUGUGUCUCUGUGAGUGUGUGUGUUUGUGGGUGGGUGUGCUGUGUGUCUGGUGUAUGAGUGUGUGGGUCGUGAAUGUCAGUAAGUGUGUGUCUGUGUCUGUGAGGGUGUCCCUGAGUGUGUGUAUCUCUCUAAGCGUCACAUAUAUGACUAUAUAUGUGUCUAUGAGUGUGUGUGUAUAAGUGGGUCUGUGAAUGCGUCUGUAUUUGAGUGUAGAUGACUAUGUUUCUGUGUGUGUGUGUCUGAGUGUCGAUGAAUGUGUCUAUGAUUGUGUGUUACUGUGUAUCUGUUAGCACGUUUGUGGGUGUCUGUGUAUCAGUUUGUAUCUGUGAAUGUACAUUCGCAUGUGAAUGUGUGUGACUAUGUUUCUCUGUGUGUGUGUCUGAGUGUCCAUGAAUGUGUCUGUCUAUGAUUGUGUGUUACUGUGUAUCUGUUAGCACAUUUGUGGGUGUCUGUGUAUCAGUCUGUGUCUGUGAAUGUGCGUUCGCAUGAGUGUGUGUGACUAUGUUUCUGUGUCUGCGUAUGAGUGAAUGUGAGUGUGUGUGUGUGUGUGUGUGUGUGUAUGUGUGUGAGCGUGCUUUUCUGUGAGUGUGUAUGUGUGUAUAUAUCUAUGGGUAGGCAUGUCUACAUACGUCUGGCUGUGAGUAUAUGCCUGUAUAUAAGUAUGUGUGUACAAGUACAUGUUGGUGAGUGUGUCUCUAUGAGUAUGUGUAUGACUCUGCAUAUGUGUGAGUUUGUGUGUGUCUGUGUCUGUACAUUGGUCUGUGUGCACUUCACCCCAUACCCGGAGCCUCUGCCUUUGACUGAUUCCGUUACUCGCCAAGAAGCAGCCUUAGGUUUUCUCUGCAUGGCAUCCGUGGGUCAGGGUAAAUCUCGGCCCAUCUGUGAGCACAUCAGUGAACGAGCUCCUUUAGUGCCAGGGGCUGCAGAAGGCCUCCUUCUUCCGUGUCCACCACCCCCACCACAUCCAUUCCACAGUCAAACCUCUUUCCUCCUCCCCUCCAAUACUCUCAUGACCAGCCCUGUCGGAUGCUCCCAUAAUUCCCUGCUUCAGAUGGCUCUUCUUGACUUCUUGCCCCGACUAUGGCUAUUCUAAUGCAUCUCCCUGCCUCAGUAUAGCCCUUCCUCCGCACACCAAUGAAGUCAUUCCCUACUCAAUAAAGUGCGGGAGCAAGCUCCCUGUUAACUCUAGGAUGGAACACUAAUUCCUCUGCUAGAUCCUCAAGUGUCCUUCACAACCUGGCCCCAACAUCUCUCUCCUGCUUCAUUACACGUCAUUCCUCUUUUAGCAAACCAAACCAGGACGUGUUAGUAAAUGUUUAAUGACCAGCUCUCAACCAAGUGUGGAAAGAGGGGAAGGGCAAAAUGUACAACAUCACAGGUUUAAUCUGUAUUACUUACAUUUUCUCCAUCACUUUCUUAAGCCAAGGCAAUAAAAAUGAACAGUUUUUGCCAGUUUCCAAAGGAUAAACAUCCAUAGUGAAAUUUUAACAUCGGUUCUUGUGAAUAAGAUUAGAUCUAACACAUCGCUGAGCUACAACCCUAUUCUUAUUCUUUACACAUAAUAUUUCAUUUCCCAUCUCCAUAUCUUUGCACGAUUGUCCUCAAUUCCUAGAACAUGUUCUUUUCUCACUUAUGUAUUUUUUAAUCUCUGGCUUCCUUGAAGACUCACCUUAAAUACUCCCAUUUACAACGUUCUCCUCUUAUUCCCCCAGCUUCUAUUGCCUUUCCCUUGAAUAGGUUUCUUCCACUCAAGCGUAAGCUAUCUGAAGGAAGGCACUAUUUUUGUAUCCCUAGCACUUAGGCCGGGGCCUGGACCACAGUAGGCACUUAAUGCUCGUGGAUUAAUUGUUAUAUUGAGCAAAGAGAAUUUAUGCUCUGAGCCCAGAAGAGUGAUUCAAAGUCAUCUUCCUCAUACUUUAGCUUAGAAGGAUC